Molecule: long non-coding RNA, 936 nt
Filed under: Drosophila guanche
Lineage: Eukaryota; Metazoa; Arthropoda; Insecta; Diptera; Drosophilidae
Source: RNAcentral
CUUUUCAAUUUCGAUAUUCACCCAUUAAAUGCAUGUUCUUCCUCGUUCUCUAUCGUAUUCACAUAUUACAUGUAUGCUCUAUAGCAACAAACUUCUGUCAGUAUGUCGUAAAUGCAACCAUUCAAUAACGUAAUGCUACAAAUUCAUUUUACUUAAACAAAAUACUAAUUGCUCCCGGCCAUAAGCCCUUUGCGCUAAUUUGGCGUAAACAGCCACCAAAACUGGUCAUUGGGACAAUAGUGCAUCUGCACCUCAGCUGUGUUUUGUCAAAUUUUAAAUUCUUUCUUAUUCUGUCAUCUACAUCUACAACACUUCUCACAGCAACAUGCUCGCCGCCCUUCCCUAGACCCACAUACUGCAGACUCGAGGCAGAGACAGCGACCGCACACAAAAAAUAAACCUAUAUAAGCUGCGGGACGGGUUGGGUUAAAAUGGGAAUGAGAGAAUGUAAAAAGAACAACAAAAGCUGUGGACAGGGUGGCUUUAGCCACUGGAAAUUAGUUUCUCCACUGUGGCUAUAAUAAUGAUCCGAUCGGAUCCCAACUUGGUGAUCUGAUAGAUAUGGCCAUUUCCUACGGAAUGUCGUUUAGAUUUCUUUUCUCUUCAAAAUUGUAGAUUUGGGAGGUUUUCGCCCUUUUGCGGGGGGCGGAAGGGGGCGUGGGUCAUUUUUGAAAUGCACUGGUUUCAGUGUGAGCAAACAGCAGUCCGGAGCCAAAAUUUGGUGGCUCUAGCUCUUAUAGUCUCUAAGAACUAGCCGACAAACAAGACGGACAGACGGACAGACAGACAUGGCUCUAUCGAUUCGGCUAUUGAUGCUGAUCAAGAAUAUCCAUACUUUAUGAGGUCGGAAACGCUUCCUUUUGCUCGUUACAUACAACCGUUAUUCCACACAAAUACAAUAUACCCUAUUUACUCUUCGAGUACCGGGUAUAAAAA